CUGCAUGAAGCUGGAAUCGCUAGUAAUCGCAAAUCAGCCAUGUUGCGGUGAAUACGUUCCCGGGUCUUGUACUCACCGCCCGUCACACCAUGGGAGUUGUGUUUGCCUUAAGUCAGGAUGCUAAACCAGCUACUGCCCACGGCACACACAGCGACUGGGGUGAAGUCGUAACAAGGUAACCGUAGGUGAACCUGCGGUUGGAUCACCUCCUUUCUAGAG
Molecule: ribosomal RNA, 219 nt
Filed under: Helicobacter pylori PZ5004
Lineage: Bacteria; Pseudomonadati; Campylobacterota; Epsilonproteobacteria; Campylobacterales; Helicobacteraceae
Description: partial 16S ribosomal RNA
Rfam family: Bacterial small subunit ribosomal RNA
Source: RNAcentral